This 27-nucleotide non-coding RNA is filed under the name Rattus norvegicus (Norway rat). The record is from RNAcentral. Lineage: Eukaryota; Metazoa; Chordata; Mammalia; Rodentia; Muridae.
UGGUCCCCCCACAUCAGCCCUGUGUAG